UACAGAGGGUGCAAGCGUUAAUCGGAAUUACUGGGCGUAAAGCGCGCGUAGGCGGCUUGACAAGUCGAGUGUGAAAUCCCCGGGCUUAACCUGGGAGCUGCAUUCGAAACUGUCUUGCUAGAGUAUGGGAGAGGGAAGUGGAAUUUCAGGUGUAGCGGUGAAAUGCGUAGAUAUCUGAAGGAACAUCAGUGGCGAAAAGCGACUUCCUGGACCAAUACUGACGCUCAGGUGCGAAAGCGUGGGGAGCAAACAGG
RNAcentral lists this ribosomal RNA (254 nucleotides) under uncultured bacterium. RNAcentral's name for it is "partial 16S ribosomal RNA". It matches the Rfam family "Bacterial small subunit ribosomal RNA", at positions 524 to 776 of the family's 1533-position model. The record is from RNAcentral.